UAGGGAAUCUUCGGCAAUGGACGAAAGUCUGACCGAGCAACGCCGCGUGAGUGAAGAAGGUUUUCGGAUCGUAAAGCUCUGUUGUAAGAGAAGAACGAGUGUGAGAGUGGAAAGUUCACACUGUGACGGUAUCUUACCAGAAAGGGACGGCUAACUACGUGCCAGCAGCCGCGGUAAUACGUAGGUCCCGAGCGUUGUCCGGAUUUAUUGGGCGUAAAGCGAGCGCAGGCGGUUAGAUAAGUCUGAAGUUAAAGGCUGUGGCUUAACCAUAGUACGCUUUGGAAACUGUUUAACUUGAGUGCAAGAGGGGAGAGUGGAAUUCCAUGUGUAGCGGUGAAAUGCGUAGAUAUAUGGAGGAACACCGGUGGCGAAAGCGGCUCUCUGGUCUGUAACUGACGCUGAGGCUCGAAAGCGUGGGGAGCAAACAGGAUUAGAUACCCUGGUAGUCCACGCCGUAAACGAUGAGUGCUAGGUGUUGGGUCCUUUCCGGGACUCAGUGCCGAAGCUAACGCAUUAAGCACUCCGCCUGGGGAGUACGACCGCAAGGUUG
RNAcentral lists this ribosomal RNA (550 nucleotides) under uncultured bacterium. RNAcentral's name for it is "bacterial SSU rRNA". It matches the Rfam family "Bacterial small subunit ribosomal RNA", at positions 355 to 896 of the family's 1533-position model. The record is from RNAcentral.